Long non-coding RNA from Cyprinus carpio (common carp), 1098 nucleotides. The record is from Ensembl. NCBI's taxonomy places the organism in Eukaryota, Metazoa, Chordata, Actinopteri, Cypriniformes, Cyprinidae.
AUCCAAUUAUAUACAUAACAUUUCAUGUCUUGAAGGAUUUAUAAUUCUGUUUUGCUGCAGUAUGAAAGCAUCUUUGUGGGUGGUCUUUUGAGCAGAGCUCUGUUUAAGAUCUGUGACAGAAAACGGCCGUGAGCAGCUUCGGUGACCCUGACGGCUAGCAAGUGUUUUUGAUGCUGUUAUAAAUUCCACUCUUGUAAACUUCAUAGAGCACUUAACCGUGAGAGGAAAAUGGGGAGAAUAACUUCACAAACUGAGAAUAUGAGGCUUUAAUAUCCCUAGCACACAGAUUUUGUGUUGUUAGGUCUAUAGGAACUAGAAGACACUGGUCAUUAGAAACAAAUGCUUGAUCAGGAAAACAAAAUGUGUGAAAAAGCUGUGGACUCCUCACAUUUAUUAGAUUUCAUUUGCUGACAGCAAUUUUGUUGAUGAUAAGAAUUGUUGAAAAUGAGUAACAUUAAAAUGGUUUUGUUUGUAAAGUGGCGUGCAUUGUGAACCAAAUAAUGUAAAAAAAAAAAAACAAAAAAAAAAACAUGCUCAAACAUGGAUUUGAAACAUAAAGAAAAAAAUUGCUGCAGAAGGAAAAAAUGGCAAAUUUAACUUUACAAAACUAAUCUGUCUCACCUCAGCUCCUGUCCAACAAUCUCUGAGGGAACUGCAGAGGGAGAGACAAUCAGGAACAGAGAAUUAAGCAGAAAAAUCUAAAGCAGCAAAUAAUUGCAUAGAACCACAAUCAAUAAAUCACAAAUAUAUACAGACCCCGGGAGGCCAUAUGCAGUAACACUCAUGACUGCAUUACCAAGAAACACACACAUGUGCAGUACAUAUACCAUACAUGCAUAUACACAAACACACACACACUUGAGUCAAUGAUAUAUAGAAGCAUCCAUGAUAAAGACAAAAUCUUAUUUAAAACAAGGGUAAAAGAAAUGUACUGUCUGUAUCUAUGUUUGUAUUUAUUUUUAAGAAAAGCUUUAUUGUAAUGACACUAAAAAUGUUGUGGUGUAACCAUCAAGUGAAAGGAAAAUAUUAGUAAAAAUAUUGUCCAUAUAACAUAUGACUUCAUAUAUACACACACACACACACACACACAAACAUNUU